CCGAGAAAUAAGUUAUGUGAUUGUAUGUGAUCAAAUCCGUGUUAACAUUGAUAUGUACAACCAGACAUCUGGUAACAAUGAAUGUUUGCGACAAAAAAAAAUGUUUACAUUUUAAGUUUGUGAACAAUUAUUUAUUUUCAUUGUGACUGUCUGUGAUUGAUAACCAAGUUUUUGUUAACUGUGAUUGAUUGUGACCAAGUUUGCUUUAGUGUUUUGUAUAUGACCAAUUUUGUGUUAGCUGUGACAUGUGUAACCAAACAUAUGUUACAGUGAAUGUUUAUGACAAAACUUGUUUACAUUUAAAGUUUGUGUCCAUUUAUUUGUUGACUAUAAUCGUAUAUGAUCAAAUCUGUGUUAACUGUAAUUAGCUAUGACUAACUCUGUCUUUAUUGCAUCCAUGACCAAGUGUAUUGUAAUUGUGACUGUAUGUGAUCAAAUCGAUGUUAAUAGUGACAUGUGUAACCAUACAUCUAUUAAGAGUGAAUAUUUUUGAACAAUGCUAUAAGUACAUAUUUUUCUACAGAAUUUGUACGGAAAGACAGUUGUCUUCAUGUAAUUGGCUAUUGUCAAAAGCAGUUUUUUAGCAAUAGUAAAUCAUCGGAAGACAAUUAUCUUUUUGUAACAAUUCUAUUAAAAAAAUUUGUACUUGCAGAUUAAUUGAAUAUUUUUUUAUAAAACUUGUUUACAUUUAAA
Molecule: long non-coding RNA, 693 nt
Filed under: Olea europaea subsp. europaea
Lineage: Eukaryota; Viridiplantae; Streptophyta; Magnoliopsida; Lamiales; Oleaceae
Source: RNAcentral